UACGUAGGGUGCGAGCGUUAAUCGGAAUUACUGGGCGUAAAGUGUGCGCAGGUGGCCGCGCAAGUCGAGUGUGAAAUCCCCGAGCUUAACUUGGGAAUUGCGCUCGAAACUACGUGGCUCGAGUGUGGCAGAGGAAGGUGGAAUUCCACGUGUAGCGGUGAAAUGCGUAGAUAUCAAGUGGAACACCAGUGGCGAAGGCGAAUCCCUGGAAAAUACCUGACACUGAGGCACGAAAGCUAGGGGAGCAAACAGG
Molecule: ribosomal RNA, 253 nt
Filed under: uncultured bacterium
Lineage: Bacteria
Description: partial 16S ribosomal RNA
Rfam family: Bacterial small subunit ribosomal RNA
Source: RNAcentral